This 253-nucleotide ribosomal RNA is filed under the name uncultured bacterium. RNAcentral's name for it is "partial 16S ribosomal RNA". It matches the Rfam family "Bacterial small subunit ribosomal RNA", at positions 524 to 776 of the family's 1533-position model. The record is from RNAcentral.
UACGGAGGGGGCAAGCGUUGUUCGGAAUUACUGGGCGUAAAGGGCGCGUAGGCGGACCUUCAAGUCAGGGGUGAAAGGCCUGAGCUCAACCUGGGAACUGCCUUUGAAACUGGAGGUCUUGAGUCCGGGAGAGGAUGGCGGAAUUCCCAGUGUAGAGGUGAAAUUCGUAGAUAUUGGGAAGAGCACCGGUGGCGAAGGCGGCCUUCUGGUCCGGCACUGACGCUGAGGCGCGAAAGCGUGGGGAGCAAACAGG